CCUUCGCCUUGGCAACCUACUGCUCUGAUCCCCCUUGGCCGCUGCUUGGUUAAAGUUGGGCGCAGGGUUCCCCAGAAAGCCCGUUCUGGCCCAGACAGCAACAACGCGUUUUGUCCCUGGGGGUGUGCGUCCCUUCCACGUGCUUUUUAUAGAUCAACUUACAGGCUUCUUCCUUCCCUCCCCUGCAGCCACAAACAGCAUCAUCUGCUUCCAGCGAUGGUUAACCCGGGCCCAGCAGCAGCCGACGGGUCAGACUCACAGUCCCCUCCCAACAACCUGCACCCCACAAACCCCAGCAGGGUUCUGUGUUAAAUUUGACAGUUGCACUCUGAUCACUAUGAAGUCAGCUUGAGUUGUUCUGAAGUGCUACCAGCUUCAGUAAGCCUCGGAUACAGAUACUACCAUUGGUAAUAUCAGGUGACUGACUGAAGUCAAGGGUUGCUGGAGCAGAGAAUUAAAUUCUGGAGUGGAAUUCUCCCACUCACCUCCAAAAAAACCCUAUAACCAAAACCACAGGAAAAUAAGGUUACUCCUGUCUGUAAGAAGGAAAAACAUGCUGUUACUGAGGUGGGGAUGUAACACAGUCAUAAACAAACACACGUGUUACAUUCAGUUACUUAAAAAAGCCACGCUAAACAGCACAGAGUUUACUGCAAGGGAGCUGCACCGUCUGGAAGAUUCUUAACUCACACAGGCUGGAUGUGAUCCCUGGAUCUAGCUGCAAGAUUCUAGCCAGGUUUUGGUUGUAAACCCCUUGAGAGACUUCAGAAGAUCCUGGGUUGUGUCACUGGGCACACUUCAAGACGGGAUGAGCACCUGGCAUUCUCAAUACGGUACCAGUCCAGUGGCAGGUAUUUGCAUUCUGACUGUGCCGCAGCAUUAGAGCAGCCUGCGAGCAUAGCUGCGAGGCAGGAACGCACUGCAGGCAUUCAAGUAGUGCACAAGUCACAGAGGCAUGGAUAACCAUAAUGAAAUCCAGGUCCAAAGCUGUAAACACCAAACCAACUGAGAGCUUUGUUUCUGGAAUUCAGAAACAGCAAGGCUUUGGAAGGCUUUUGAAACUCUGUCUGGGGCAAAGACUGGGAAGUAAAAAGCUGCUCAUUCGUCCUGACAGAUUCAAUCAGUUCUCUCUGCUUGCCUUCCCUGUAGCAAACUGAAGUCACAGAUGCCAUAUGGUCAGUGAAAAAAAAAAGGAUUAGGAAGAUACAUCAUGUGCUGAUGACACCAAAACCAAAAGUACUUUUAGAAACCAUAAAGGCUUGUCAUGCAGAAAACAGAGACAAGAAAAUAGCCUGAGAAAUCUCAGAUAUUCUAUAGAGCAGAAAACAACUACUGUUCCCAACCUCUCAGAAAGAAAAGAUUGGCAAAUUAAGCACUACACUGCACGCUCCUGACCAUAAAGACCACAUGCUGUGA
Neopsephotus bourkii (Bourke's parrot) is the source of this 1416-nucleotide long non-coding RNA. RefSeq lists it as uncharacterized. The transcript is spliced from 4 exons. Lineage: Eukaryota; Metazoa; Chordata; Aves; Psittaciformes; Psittacidae. The record is from RefSeq and is a predicted model, not a curated record.